Molecule: long non-coding RNA, 3468 nt
Organism: Uranotaenia lowii
Lineage: Eukaryota; Metazoa; Arthropoda; Insecta; Diptera; Culicidae
Exons: 7
Source: RefSeq, a predicted model, not a curated record
AGUAAACGAAAAUUACCGAGUUCGGUAAUUUAUUUUACAGAACCUGGUCUGUAAUUCGAAAAAUUUCGGUAAUUGAUCAAUUUGACGUAUUGUUUUUACCGAGUUCGGUAAAUCAGUUCUUAAUUUACCGGAGUUCGUUUAUUUUUAUGUAAACAAAUCGCUUUGCAGUAAAUUUUCGGUAAAAAAACACCGAUAUCUGUAAAUCAUUGUCGCUGUCAAAACAGACAUCAAAUUUCAAGUGUCUUUUUCUGGCAGCUUUGAGCGCAGCUGUCUCUCUCUCUCUUAAUACCACAAAGUCUUAUUGGCAUCCCGCUUCCGCUGUAAAAUAGGCAAAUACAAAUAGGAAACGUUUCACUGCCAUUUUAUUUUCGUUUCGUUCUUGUAUCUAACAGCCGUUCAGCAGUUGCGAGCAAAAAAAAAGCGCAAUGUACGCAAGUGGAAGUUUUUUAAUUGUUUCAGUUGUGUUUCGUGCACGAGUUAGAAAAUUAUUUGACGUAGAGGAAACACCAUUGAUGAGUAAGGUAAAUAAACUGGUAUACAAAUUGUAAUUUUAGAAUAAAAAAGAAGACUCAAACUUAUUUUCAUGACUUUUUCUGCAUAAUAUUUACGUUCAGUGUCAAGAAUUGACGUGUUUUAAAUUGUCAUUUUUUGUUAUUUUACUCAUAACCACAUAUUCCACAUUCAGACAAUCCCUACAUUCAAAUUGCUCACAUCCACAAUUUUUCAAUAGCAACGCAGGAGCCGGUGAAAGACCGGAACAACAAUCCAUUCCUUAUUCGAGCAGUUCUUGCCAAUCUGUCCCACCACCUCCAUAACCAGCAUAAACAAACCAUCGUCAUCAUCAUCAAGUGGUGUUGAACUUCAUCCUACGCCUGGCGGGAUCGGAACUUUGAUUGGCUUCAUUCCAGCGCCAAUUCAAAUAAUGACCAAAAUCGUUUUCAUCCACUCCAGCAGCAACAUCAGCAGCUUCAUCUUCAUCAUCUCCCAUCGCACUAGACUCAUCAAACAGCAACCUGAAUCUUCUAUUGGGUAUCGAUUUUACUCCAACCCCACAGACUCAGAGCUCGAAGACCGACAUCCGCGACGAUGAUCAAAAUUCAUAAGUGAGGUCCUCACCUCUACCAGAGUUUAAUCUGUCUCAGAAGUGGUCGCAAUGAAUCUCGGCAACCCGGCACCAACAGCCCGGUUGCAAGCUUAAAGAAAAGCGUGCCACAGGUUGAUCCCGCUGCUAGAUCGAUUUUAACCGAAGCCUCGUUUAGUCAAAAUCCGGGAUCAACCGGUGUCUGAACCCUUUGAGGAUCAGUCCACUCUCAAGUAUAGUUCCACAAGAGUUCGAAUGGCUGCAAAAGUUUGUCGAUAGUAUGGACAUGAAAACGUUGAACGGAACCACUCCGCUCGAUGAUAAGUGGAAAGAACUGCAGAAUUUUCUGGUCAAAGACGAAUUCAAGAGACAUGUUAGUGUGGCUCGACUGUUUCGGAAAAAAAUUCGUUCCAUGGAUUGUGUGCCAUACAAUCAAGCCCGGAUAAAGCUACCACAUCCACUGAUACAUAAAUGCAGCAUUUGUUAAGGAACUUGGAUUUGGCAGCCGACAGAUAAUUCUUACGCAGACUCCUCUACAAAAUACCGUGAAUGACUGCUGAUUUGGUCUCAGAAAUCGACAGUUACACACCAAAAAUAUUAUAAAAUUAAACGAGCCAUUAACGCUUCGUGACCUCAUAAUUAUUUGAUCUAAUUAAUGAAUGAUUUAAAUUCACAUCAUUUUGCAUCUAAACUUUACACACUCGAAAAAGUUUAUGGAAUCAAUUGAAGUAUAAAUUUCAAAAAACAUAAUUUUAAAUCACAAAAGCGAAAUUUAAAUAUUCUUAGAUGUAAUUUUAUGUACGCCUGAUUAAAAAAAAUGAGCAUCCCAACGGCAAUCCUAAAAAUGUAAACAAAGUUUUCAGCUGGUUUGGAACGUUCGGAGUCUUGCUGAAAUUUAAAAGCUCUAUGUAACAACCGUUUGUGAUCAAUAUAACAACGGCGCUAGCUGACGUGGAAGAAAUUAAUAGUGAAACCAGUCCGGAAACAACUAUGAAAAUGCUGAUGCAAUUGCUCUUCGUACACGGUCCACAGUAUCAUCGAAAUCGAGAGCUUGAUGAACGAAGUUUGUCACCGGUCAACUGCCGGAAUUGCAGACCUAAAAGUAUCGAUGUGAGAAACGGCAAGGAAGGAACUGACACAUUUUAUCAAGAUGCUUUAUCGAGAUGUCUAAACUAGUGGGAAAUUUGGAACCCGAAUGCCUGACCGAGGAAGCAAAGGAGAUAAUGGGCAUUUCGAAAAAUGCCAAUAGCAUCUACCGUGAAUUAGUCAACUGAAAACAAGGUAAUCCUAGAUUCUCAAACUAACCAGGCACUCGAUUGAGCCAACGCUUAGCAAUGCAGUACCUGGUAUCAAUUCCUAAACUGGAAAAAUGAAGAGUGCAGAGUUCGGUGCCAUAAAAAUAAAUUCAAUUAGCAUCAACAACCCGUUAAAGGUUCCACCGGUGCCGUAACACAUUUAAUUUGUUAUUUUAAUAAUACUCGCUGGAACUAUGACUAACGGAAAAGAUUUCAAGUCGAUCCUAGAAACUUAGUUUCGUAAAAAACCAAAACUCAGGACGUUAUGAAAUGUCAGACUUCUAAAUACCGGUCCGCACUACCCGCACGGCAGAAUUUUCGAAACCAAAAGGUCCGAUAGUUUGUUCCGAAAUACAAAUUUCGUAGGCUGCACAAUUUUUCGCCAAACGCAUCUGCCUCGUUGAAGCCAACGUUUUGGCGUAUUUAAGACUCGAAUUUGAACCAAUUUAUCCGUCAUCUGCUCUUGUCGAGCAGUCUACCUUUAGGCGUAUUCCUUUACUAAGCGCGAGUUUCGUCGAACGUAGUUUCAUCGAUUCUUAAUUAGCUAUGCAUUUCUUUUGACAGAAUCUUAUGCAUAUGGAAUGCAUUAAGUUCAUAUUGCUGUAAAUAAUUCCUUUGCCUUUGGAAAUGGUUCUCUUUCCUGUUCCGUAGAGCCGGUCAUUUCCGCCACAACUCGAACAACGGCUUGACAAAAAGAAAACAAACAAACGAUUUGUGCGCAUCAAUUUUAAGCAUGGUUUAUUAAGAUCCGAUGAUACUGAGUUUGUCGAUAAGCCAACAGGUUAAUUUCACAGACGGGAAUGAAUUUCGUCGAAAGGUUGGUGUCACUUUCUCAAUAUGAUCACGCCAAAAUGAUAGCUUUAAAUUGUUUUAUCGAUCAUGCCAUUAUGACGAAUUUGAAGAAGCUGUACUCCGUACGGUAUUUGACUAAAACAUUAUCUUCUAUAAACGGUUCAAUUUUAAACUACUGCGCCAACUCUCAAAAUGUAGCUACAUGUUGGCAUCCGAUAGUUAGUAAUUGACUAAAACAGUAUUCCAAUUAUCAUUAUGUUAGCUAAAAGAUUGUAUAUUCAUCAAACGAACUGUAAUUGU